UGCCAGAAACAAGGCGGAGUUAGAUUCACAGUUAAUGGAAGAGACUAUUUCGAGCUUGUGUUGAUAAGCAAUGUAGCAGGUGCUGGUUCCAUCCAAUCUGUAUCCAUUAAAGGCUCAAAAACAGGGUGGAUGACAAUGUCAAGAAACUGGGGAGCUAAUUGGCAAUCUAAUGCCUAUCUCAAUGGGCAAUUUUUAUCCUUCAGGGUCACGACUACUGAUGGGGUGACCAGAUCAUUCACGGACAUUGCUCCAGCAACUUGGGCAUUUGGCCAAACUUUCUCUAGCACAGUACAAUUCUAAAAUUAAAUCAUCAAGGGCUUUGGAGUUCAG
Molecule: unclassified non-coding RNA, 330 nt
Filed under: Hevea brasiliensis (rubber tree)
Lineage: Eukaryota; Viridiplantae; Streptophyta; Magnoliopsida; Malpighiales; Euphorbiaceae
Source: RNAcentral